AGCGAAGAGACUCUGUCACCUUUGGGACAUCCAAAAUAGAUGGGAGCUGUGCCCUGAGCAUUACUCAUGAGGUUACCACGAAGAAGCAGGUUAGAAGCUGUUAGAAAAGACUCCUUCAUACCUCUGGCAGUGCUGACAUCCAUGCUACGGUGUAGUCAUUUGAAACUGCAGGGACAUCAGUCUUCACUGACACCUGGGAACACAGAGGUGAUUAUGUGGAAACUAACAAAUCUUCAGCAUUAUUACAGGCAUGGGAGGCAGGGAGAGGGCUUUCGGAUUUCUUUUCCAG
RNAcentral lists this long non-coding RNA (289 nucleotides) under Gallus gallus (chicken). Lineage: Eukaryota; Metazoa; Chordata; Aves; Galliformes; Phasianidae. The record is from RNAcentral.